Non-coding RNA from Pelobates cultripes (western spadefoot toad), 429 nucleotides. NCBI's taxonomy places the organism in Eukaryota, Metazoa, Chordata, Amphibia, Anura, Pelobatidae. The record is from the annotation of a GenBank genome assembly.
GUUUCUGCUAUUACUAAGGCUUAGCAGGCUUCAGACGUACUUGUGUUUUAUGAUUAUUUUACCAUAUCUAUGGCUUUGUCAUGGGUGUGUUGCCUGACCGUAUCUGUUCUGCUGUUACCUGGGCAUCAAUUAAUACAUUUAUUACCAUCUUGAUGUAGUUAGAUCAUCCAGUUCAUCUUUUGGGUUAGGUGUUUUAUCUGCCAUUCAUUAGAUUUACUGAUACAUUGUUUGCAUUUACCCAUCUGUAGUGCUGCCAUGAAUAUGUCCUGGAAAACAAAUUAAAAUCAAACUUACUAUUACUUCCUCUUCCUGGAUAUAGGCCAUGGCAGCCAUACACUUCCUCUUUUAUUAGUAAUUCUGUGGCUUGGAAAGACUGGAGGUGUAAGUAAAGGAAUUAAUUGUUUGAUUUAAUUGAAAAAUUUUCCUUUU